Molecule: long non-coding RNA, 1203 nt
Filed under: Apteryx haastii (Great spotted kiwi)
Lineage: Eukaryota; Metazoa; Chordata; Aves; Apterygiformes; Apterygidae
Description: lncRNA (ENSAHAG00000000014.1)
Source: RNAcentral
CCGCGCUCGACUGCCCGGAGCCAGCCCGGCCGUUCCCGGGGCGGCCAGGGCGCUCGGCAGCUCCGCUCGGAGACGCCUGGGAGACGAGACGGGCGCAAGGUGCAGCUACCGACAGCGCUAGCUAUCAGCGGCCCAAGCAGACGAAAAACAAAGAAAAACGCUGAGUUAGUGUCUCUCGUUCCUGCCGCUCCGGGAGGGGAGACCUCGGCUCCGCGCAGCUCCCGGCCGCAGCGGCUCACCGAGCCCGGAGCCGGGCCGCGAGCAGUGCAGGAGGGACGGAGGUGGCUGUGGGGCAGGGCAGCCGCGACCGGCACCCCCGGGAAACAGAGCCGAGCCAUCCCGUCCCUUUCCGGCGCUCCCCAGGCCUUGUCCACCCCUACCUCGUGGGAGCGGGGACGACCGCUCCGGGCCGCAGCGCGCCGGGGGCAGAGGCAGGGACCGGCCCUCCCUCCGGUCAGUCCCCCCGGCCGCGGGGCCGCGGCCUCUGCUCCCUCCCCGGCGGCCAAGCGCAGCGCCGUGCGCAGAGCUGCGGGGCGCCUGCCCGUCGCGCCGCGUCUCACGCUGGCCGCAGCCCGCGCGCCCAAAGGGCCCGCAGCGCCGAAAGCUCUUUUAGCAGAAGUUCCCGAGAGCGCGUUUCCGCCCCGGGAUGUUCGCUGUGAGCAUCCCAGCCCCACGGCCGCCUGCGGGGCCCAGCUGCUGCCGCCCCGUCUCGCCCGCUCAGCGGGGCCCCGUGGCCCAGCGGCAGCGCAAAACCGCGGCGCGGUGCGGCGGCGAGGGCUGGUUUCAUCCGGGGCCGGGCAGAGACUUAUCUCACGCGCGCUGAGCCUCCGCUCGGAGACGGGCYGUCGCCUCUGCGCAGGGGUGACGGGCCGCUUCCUCCCCCACGCGCGCCAGGCGGCAGCAGCGGCCCGGGGAGGGAGAAGCCAAGCACCAAAACACCGGGGCCGGGGAGGAAGGCUGCACCGCUGCCCGGAGCGCGGCUUGUAUUUGCCCUGCCUAGAUCAGAGCUUGGUCCACGGGGAGCGCGCGGCGCUGGGCGGCCUCGGCCGGCAAACGGUGAAACGGUGCAACUGGGUCUGCCAAGGAGGGGUGCAAGAGGGGGAAACCGAGGCAGACACCUCGCCAGGGAGCGGCAGCGCCGAGGAACCCAGCCGAGCGGCUUCCGUCUCCUCGGGAGCCUCCGAAGCACAGCUGCGCGCGUGA